RNAcentral lists this transfer RNA (74 nucleotides) under Phycisphaerae bacterium. RNAcentral describes it as "tRNA-Ile". It matches the Rfam family "tRNA". Rfam says of the family: Transfer RNA (tRNA) molecules are approximately 80 nucleotides in length. Their secondary structure includes four short double-helical elements and three loops (D, anti-codon, and T loops). RNAcentral also lists the same sequence under 1 other name. Lineage: Bacteria; Pseudomonadati; Planctomycetota; Phycisphaerae. The record is from RNAcentral.
GGGCUUGUAGCUCAGCUGGUUAGAGCGCGUCACUGAUAAUGACGAGGUCAAUGGUUCGAAUCCAUUCAGGCCCA